AUGGCUGGCCGUAAAUCCAAGGUCCCCAAAUGGCCGGAAGUAAAAGGUAUCAAUGACUACGCAGUAGCAUUUGGUUGCCUGGCGAUGGCAACCAGAGGGCUGGGCUUUCUCGUGGUUACCUGAACCACCGUCGUUCUUCUUGGUGGAUUCGUCUCCAUACUGCAGAAGAAGGAUUUUUGGUCUCUCACGAUGAUUACAUUCAUACAAAUAGUCGGGUUAGUCCUACUCCUUAGUUUUUCUCUAUUAUUUCCCAGGAUAUUUCCCCCUAGACAAUGGGACCAAUAG
RNAcentral lists this ribosomal RNA (285 nucleotides) under Triticum aestivum (bread wheat). Its description in RNAcentral is "partial small subunit ribosomal RNA". Lineage: Eukaryota; Viridiplantae; Streptophyta; Magnoliopsida; Poales; Poaceae. The record is from RNAcentral.